GAGUUCGCGGGAGAGUAAGCUAUUGCCAGGGUUUUUAUUUUAUAUUUUAAACAUUGAUUUUAUUUUUUAUGUUUUUAGAUGUUCAUUUUUUUGAAUGUUUUAUUCAAAUAAUAUAAAAAAUAAAAUAUAUAUUGACAUGGAUUAAACAAAGAUAUAUAUUAUUCUAUGUUGCAUAAACAAAUUGGCAAAAUAGAGAUGGAAGAUAAAAAUAUGGUCAAAGUAAUAAGAGUCUAUGGUGAAUGCC
RNAcentral lists this unclassified non-coding RNA (244 nucleotides) under Borreliella garinii. RNAcentral describes it as "partial 5S-23S ribosomal RNA intergenic spacer". Lineage: Bacteria; Pseudomonadati; Spirochaetota; Spirochaetia; Spirochaetales; Borreliaceae. The record is from RNAcentral.